ACACAUGCAAGUCGAGGGGCAGCAUGAACUUAGCUUGCUAAGUUUGAUGGCGACCGGCGCAUGGGUGAGUAACACGUAUCCAACCUGCCGAUGACUCGGGGAUAGCCUUUCGAAAGAAAGAUUAAUACCCGAUGGCAUAGUUCUUCCGCAUGGUAGAACUAUUAAAGAAUUUCGGUCAUCGAUGGGGAUGCGUUCCAUUAGGUUGUUGGCGGGGUAACGGCCCACCAAGCCUUCGAUGGAUAGGGGUUCUGAGAGGAAGGUCCCCCACAUUGGAACUGAGACACGGUCCAAACUCCUACGGGAGGCAGCAGUGAGGAAUAUUGGUCAAUGGACGAGAGUCUGAACCAGCCAAGUAGCGUGAAGGAUGACUGCCCUAUGGGUUGUAAACUUCUUUUAUACGGGAAUAAAGUGAGGCACGUGUGCCUUUUUGUAUGUACCGUAUGAAUAAGGAUCGGCUAACUCCGUGCCAGCAGCCGCGGUAAUACGGAGGAUCCGAGCGUUAUCCGGAUUUAUUGGGUUUAAAGGGAGCGUAGGCGGACGCUUAAGUCAGUUGUGAAAGUUUGCGGCUCAACCGUAAAAUUGCAGUUGAUACUGGGUGUCUUGAGUACAGUAGAGGCAGGCGGAAUUCGUGGUGUAGCGGUGAAAUGCUUAGAUAUCACGAAGAACUCCGAUUGCGAAGGCAGCUUGCUGGACUGUAACUGACGCUGAUGCUCGAAAGUGUGGGUAUCAAACAGGAUUAGAUACCCUGGUAGUCCACACAGUAAACGAUGAAUACUCGCUGUUUGCGAUAUACAGUAAGCGGCCAAGCGAAAGCGUU
This 817-nucleotide ribosomal RNA is filed under the name uncultured bacterium. Its description in RNAcentral is "bacterial SSU rRNA". It matches the Rfam family "Bacterial small subunit ribosomal RNA", at positions 51 to 861 of the family's 1533-position model. The record is from RNAcentral.